Molecule: transfer RNA, 74 nt
Filed under: Cordylochernes scorpioides
Lineage: Eukaryota; Metazoa; Arthropoda; Arachnida; Pseudoscorpiones; Chernetidae
Description: tRNA-Thr
Rfam family: tRNA
About the family: Transfer RNA (tRNA) molecules are approximately 80 nucleotides in length.
Source: RNAcentral
UUCUGGGUAGCCUAGUGGACAUGGCAUCUGCCCGGUAAGCGGAACACUGUGGUUUCGAUUCCCAUCCCUGGACA